This 379-nucleotide ribosomal RNA is filed under the name uncultured cyanobacterium. RNAcentral's name for it is "bacterial SSU rRNA". It matches the Rfam family "Bacterial small subunit ribosomal RNA", at positions 376 to 770 of the family's 1533-position model. The record is from RNAcentral. Lineage: Bacteria; Bacillati; Cyanobacteriota.
CGCAAGCCUGACGGAGCAACGCCGCGUGUGGGAAGAAGGCUCUUGGGCUGUCAACCACUUUUCUCAGGGAAGAAGCCCUGACGGUACCUGAGGAAUCAGCCUCGGCUAACUCCGUGCCAGCAGCCGCGUUAAUACGGAGGAGGCAAGCGUUAUCCGGAAUUAUUGGGCGUAAAGCGUCCGCAGGGGGCACAUCAAGUCUGCUGUUAAAGGCUGGAGCUUAACUCCGGUAGAGCAGUGGAAACUGGCGUGCUAGAGGGCGACAGGGGUAGAGGGAAUUCCCAGUGUAGCGGUGAAAUGCGUAGAGAUUGGGAAGAACACCAGUGGCGAAGGCGCUCUACUGGGCCGCGACUGACGCUGAGGGACGAAAGCUAGGGGAGCG